GUCUUUUAAAACUUUGGCUCCCGUUAAGUCCGUUAGCUUCCACCGUUAACUCACUUAAAAAACAUUAAAGAAAAGGGGUAGUUAUGUAAAAACAGAACUCCUCCUUCCACAGACCCAUUGAUCGCCUGCGUUCAUCUUCUUCCUUCCUCCAUUCUUCAUUUCUCCGACCUGUGCUCCCAGUCAGCGGCGUUACCGCAACGGUGCUUUGGCCACCGAUUUUCUCAAUUAAUCCCCUCCGUUCUAUUCCCAAACUCACACAACACAAUCAACCCAAUAAAUCAGGAAUUUAUUGAUCAAUAUCAGUACCAUCAGUACCUGUAGCGGACGGCCUCUGCAAGAUUGUAACCAUCUGGAAUGGUAAUUAGCGUGCACCGAGCCAAAGAGGAAUUAUCCUUAAGAUUGUGCAAACACUUGAUGCAUUUAUUCAAUUCUUACAUCCCUAAAUAUUCCUCCUAGAUCAUGCUAUUUUCUCCAUACCCGAUUAUCCAGUUUUGAAUGGAAGCUGGUGAUGCGUAAUGCCUGGAAACACACUCGAUGUGUCUGCAUCAUCAUAUCCGUAAAAAAGCAAGCCUCAUAUUCAGUUUGGGAACCGACAAUAUAAACAUCAGCUUUAUCUAUUACCCGAGUGAUGCACUUCUCAUCGGAAUCAAAGAACGCCCCUUGAAGAUAUCGAUCAGAUUUUAGCAAUUUGACUGAUUUGUAGAGUCUGGGUAUGCCAUGAACCUUG
Molecule: long non-coding RNA, 727 nt
Filed under: Daucus carota (carrot)
Lineage: Eukaryota; Viridiplantae; Streptophyta; Magnoliopsida; Apiales; Apiaceae
Description: long non-coding RNA (DCAR_LNC002366)
Source: RNAcentral